Molecule: ribosomal RNA, 465 nt
Filed under: uncultured bacterium
Lineage: Bacteria
Description: bacterial SSU rRNA
Rfam family: Bacterial small subunit ribosomal RNA
Source: RNAcentral
CCUACGGGAUGCAGCAGUGGGGAAUAUUGCACAAUGGGCGCAAGCCUGAUACAGCCAUGCCGCGUGUAUGAAGAAGGCCUUCGGGUUGUAAACUGCUUUUGUACGGAACGAAAAGCCCUGGGUUAAUACCCUGGGGUCAUGACGGUACCGUAAGAAUAAGCACCGGCUAACUACGUGCCAGCAGCCGCGGUAAUACGUAGGGUGCGAGCGUUAAUCGGAAUUACUGGGCGUAAAGCGUGCGCAGGCGGUUUUGUAAGACAGAGGUGAAAUCCCCGGGCUCAACCUGGGAACUGCCUUUGUGACUGCAAGGCUAGAGUACGGCAGAGGGGGAUGGAAUUCCGCGUGUAGCAGUGAAAUGCGUAGAUAUGCGGAGGAACACCGAUGGCGAGGGCAAUCCCCUGGGCCUGUACUGACGCUCAUGCACGAAAGCGUGGGGAGCAAACAGGAUUAGAUACCCGCGUAGUC